UAUGAAUGUGGAGAGGCGUGGAAUUCAAUUUCGAGCAAAAAGAAAAAAAUUUUACCUUUUCAGUGUCGGCGGUGGCGACGGUGUGGUGGCGACGGUGUCCUUUCGAUGGCUGAGUUUUCCUCCGACCUAACUUCUUCUUCUCCGAUCAGAGGUAUCGGCUAGGGUUUUUGAAGUCAACCAUAAAAAUCUCUCUUCCCCUUAUCUUGACCGU
This 211-nucleotide long non-coding RNA is filed under the name Carica papaya (papaya). Its description in RNAcentral is "long non-coding RNA (CPAP_LNC003175)". Lineage: Eukaryota; Viridiplantae; Streptophyta; Magnoliopsida; Brassicales; Caricaceae. The record is from RNAcentral.